CUGAUGGGGGACGCGGAGGACAUUACCGAGUUUACAACUCCCAAACCCCUGUGAACAUACCUAUACGUUGCCUCGGCGGAUCAGCCCGCGCCCCGUAAAACGGGACGGCCCGCCCGAGGACCCCUAAACUCUGUUUUUAGUGGAACUUCUGAGUAAAACAAACAAAUAAAUCAAAACUUUCAACAACGGAUCUCUUGGUUCUGGCAUCGAUGAAGAACGCAGCAAAAUGCGAUAAGUAAUGUGAAUUGCAGAAUUCAGUGAAUCAUCGAAUCUUUGAACGCACAUUGCGCCCGCCAGUAUUCUGGCGGGCAUGCCUGUUCGAGCGUCAUUUCAACCCUCAAGCUCAGCUUGGUGUUGGGACUCGCGGUAACCCGCGUUCCCCAAAUCGAUUGGCGGUCACGUCGAGCUUCCAUAGCGUAGUAAUCAUACACCUCGUUACUGGUAAUCGUCGCGGCCACGCCGUAAAACCCCAACUUCUGAAUGUUGACCUCGGAUCAGGUAGGAAUACCCGCUGAACUUAAGCAUAUCAAAAGUCCGGGAGGACA
Molecule: ribosomal RNA, 545 nt
Filed under: Fusarium sp. CF62
Lineage: Eukaryota; Fungi; Ascomycota; Sordariomycetes; Hypocreales; Nectriaceae
Description: eukaryotic LSU rRNA
Rfam family: 5.8S ribosomal RNA (bases 175-328)
Source: RNAcentral